UUUUUUUUUUUUUUUUUGCAUCCAGAUUAGGUGAGCUAGUAAUAAGCCUGCUUUAUUGCUUAAAGUUUUACUGUAGUAAUUAUGCAAAAAAUAUCUUUAGUAGUAGUAAGAUUCCUUAAAAAUCAUAAAACUAUACUUCAUAGAUAUGCAAAAAUAUUUAGAAAUAUUUAGAAAUAGUGCAACAGACUGUGAAAUACUAUAAAAUCUAGAAGUGUGCAUGUUUAAUGUGUAAUAGAUCUGAGUAUGAGCUGAUGAGGUCAUCACAAGGAAUUCACCGAGAUUUCAUGCCACUGUAUUCAGCAAAGAAUAAGAAAAAAGUCCUCAAAGCCAGCCAGUAAGUUCAGGAAAACAAUAAAUUCAAAGGUAUAGUGAUACUGUAGCUUUUCAAAAGGAAAUUAACCUGAGAAAAGCACAUGUAAUAAAGCAUUACGUAGAAGAUGGGUAAAAUACUGGCUAAUUAGCAGCUGAGCUAAUGAAACAACAAGCCCACAAAAGAUGGAAUAAUGUGCUGAAAGUUUAAUUAAGACAUUAGGGUUGUAGACAUAAACAAUUACAACUGAGAAAAUCUUAUUUAUCACUCCUUGAUCAAUUGCCAAGCUCAGAGCUAAAGAAUUCAGCAGUGCACAGCUCCCACUGAUAGUGGGUGAUGUGAUCCAUGUAUGCUGGUGCAAAGCCAACUCAUAACCAAAUUAGGCAGAAAACCCACAUCAAGACAGUGUUGUAACCUGUUGUGGGUGUCACACUUGCCUUACUUGAAAAGCAAGAGUGUGCAGUGAAGGAGCUGCAAACUAAGCCCAAAGCAAGAACAUACAGCAAAAGUGGGUCUCAAAGGUGACAAUGAAGACCAGAAAGGAUUAGCAGAUAUCAUUUAAAAGCAAAAGAAUAAGGUGACCCACAAUCUAAUUUAUCAGUGCAGGAGGUACAGCAGCAUAGCAUGUCGCUGUCAGUAAAUGUACAAUAAGCAAUGCAAGUUCAGGCUGAACCAAAUGCAAAGGUGGUUGCAGUAAAGAGUAUUAAGAUGGUCUUAGAGAGAAGAGAUUUCACAGCAGGAGACUCUACAGUCAAAUCAAUCUUGCUAUUAACAUUCUCAUAACUAGGAGGUUCUCAGCAAACAGAGAAGUUCACAUUAUCCUGAUAGGAAGAGCUGACCAAAAAAAAAAGUCCUUGUUGCUUCUAAGCAUUGGUACCUGUUGCAAAGUCUUGUGGGAUCCACAUCCCCAGCUGGCAACAUUAGGGACCAACUGAGAGCACACCUUCUGACAUAUGCAAAACAUAUUUCCUUUAACAGAUUCAACACAAUGCCUCUGCUUGUGUCUGGAAUAAAGUGAGCAUGCUUAUGUGCGACAUAAACAGCCCUUCAGGCACAUAUCCAGGGCAAACACUUCAGGUAUAAUGAGGAAGUCAAAAACCUAUGGAUGACAGUUAGGGAACAAGGCAGCAAAGGGAGCCUUGUGACCAGUGUAUACUAUAGUCCAACCAAUCAAGUGGAGCCUACGAUGGAGCCUUCUACCUCCAGCUACAGGAGACAUCAGAUGCUUUUACCAGUGGGGGACUUCAAACACCCAGACUGGAAAGUAGCAUGAAGAGCUGUAGACAAUCUUAGCAGCUCCUGGAAUGCAUUGAGAAUAACCUCCUGAGUCAGAUAACAGAAGGCCCCAUCGGGGGGAUGCAAUACUGGACCUAUUACUCACUAAUGCAAAUGGGUCCCAGUGAGAUACAUGUCAGAGGCCUGAGGGAAUUAACUGACAUAGUGACCAAGCCACUCUCAACGACAUUUGAAAAGUAGUGGCAACUAGGUGAGGUCCCUGGUAAUUGCAAAAAGGCAACAUCACACCCAUUUUUAAGAAGGAUAAAAUGGAUGACCCCAGGAACAACUGUCCUCUCAGUCUCACCUCUGUGCUGGGAAAGAUUGUGGAACAGUUGGAAAGACCACAAAACAAACCCUCCUGGAAGCUAUACUAAGGCACAUGGAAGAUAGGGAGGUGAUACAGGAGACCCAGCAUAUCUUUAGCAAGGGUGAACUUGCUUGACCAAAACAGUGGCCUUCAGUGGUGCUGUCACUGCAUCAAUGGUCAAGGGAAGAACAACUGAUGUCGUCUACCUGUAUUUCAGGAAGGCCUUUGACACGGUACCCCACAACACCCUUCUCUUCAAACUGGAAAGAUAUAGAUUUGAUGGGUGGCCUGUCCAACAGAUGAAGAAUUGGCUACAGGACUGAGUCCAGAGGAUGGUGGUCAAUGGUUCAGUGUCUGCAGGGAGAUCAGUGACAAGCGGUAUCCCAGAGGGGUCAAUGCUGUGACUGAUGCUUUUUAAUAUCUUCAUCAGUGACGCUGACAUUGGGGUCGAAUGCACCAUCAGCAAGUUUGCUGAUGACACCAAGAUCUGAGGUGCAGUCAACACACCAGAGGGACAAGAUGCAAAACAGAGGGACCUAGAUAGGCUGAAUCUCAUGAGGUUCAACAAAUCCAAAUGCAAGAUUUUGUAGCUCAAGGUAAGCCUUCCUAUCAAAACAAGCUGAGGAAUUAAAGGACUGAGAUUAGUCCUGCUGAAAAAGACCUGAGGAUACUGGUGAAUUGGAAGCUGGAUAUGAGCCAGCAACGAGCCCUCACAGCCAAGAAAGCCAACCAUAUCCCAGGCCAGAUCAAAAAAAGCAUGGCCAGCACAGCAAGGGAAGUGGUCCUGCCACUCUACUCUGUGCUGAUGAGGCCUCACCUGGAGUACUGCAUCCAGAUGUGGAGUCCUCAGUACACUAUAGAAAUAGGCCUGUCAGAGCACAUCCAGAGAAGGACGCAAACAUGCUCCAAGGGAUGGAACACCUUGCCUAUGAGGACAGGCUCAGUGCUAGGGUUCUUCAUUCUAGAGAAGAAAAGGCUGCAAGGUGACCUGAUAGCAUCCUUUCAAUACCUAAGGGCGAACUACAGGAAAGAAGGGAACAGAGUCUUUAGCAGGGUCUGUGGUAACUGAUCAAGGAGAAAUGGCUUCAAGCUUAAAGAGGGUAGAUUUAGGUUGGAUGAUAAUGAAAAAGUCCUUUACAGUGAGGGUGGUGAGGCAGUGGAACAAGUUGCCCAAAGAUGUGAUUGAUUCCCUGUCCCUGGAGACUUUCAUGGCAAGGCUGGAUACGGCUCUGGGCAACCUGAUUUAGCUGUGGAUGUCUCUUUUCAUUGCAAGGGAGUUGGACUAGAUGACCUUUAAAGGCCACUUUCAACUCUAAGGAUACUAUGAUUCCAGGCAGUGCCAAAAUUUGCCCUAAAUUGUACUAAUGAAACUUAAGUCAGAAUUUGUCCUUUGUCUAGCACCUCUCUCCAAAAUCAACACAAACUAUGUAUUUAAUCUAUGGGAGAGAGAAGAGAGCACUCUCAUCCCGUGACCAGCUCUAUUUAACCUGUGUAAUCAGUGAAGUUUGGUUUUACUGAGAGCUGAUAUCUACCCAGAUCUGCCUUUGCAAAGCACCUAGAAGACUGGAUCCCUUUUCUUAGUAAGAAUGGCAGGAAGUUAGAGGAAUGCAAUGCAGGAAAAGCAUUUUUCUCUUGCUCUUGAUUUAUUUGAGGUUUUGCUUCCACUUUAAAAGAAAUUGUGCUAUAUUCACAUAUAUGCAACCCUCCAUAUAGCAGAAAGGGGAAUUUGCAGUCUUCCCUUAAAUUCCUUCCCAGUGAGCCUUGUACUGUAGGUCAGGUGUCAACAUCUUAUUGCUAUGUGACUUCCUAUUGCCACAAAUCCAGGAAUCUGCUGUAAAAGCAGCAACAGAAAUAGACCCUAAGCAGUGGUUCUCAGUACUUCCCAAACUUGGUUGUCGGCAUUUAUUUCUCUGAUUGUUCAAAUCUCUUGCUAGUAAAGUACUUGGGAAAUUUCUUUACUUUUUCUUAAGGCAUAACUUCCCUGUUAGUCUGAAUACUUUCUGCAUGAUUAAAGCCACUCGAAUUACUUAUUUACCUGGCUCUAUUCACAGAGAACAAUGGCUUUGGUAUAAACCCACUUCCUGCACAGAAUCAGGGAAACAUUUCAACUGUGUGCAACUCUCUGGCUCCACUAAAGUCAACAGAAGAAAGUUAAUUUAUUCUGUCCAAAGUUUUGCUGAUGUGCAAAUCUGAACCCAGCAGCAAAAUGCAUCAUAAGAGCAACAACAAUGAAAGAGCACACUCUUUGCAAUGGUAUUAAAAAUGCUGAAAAUGUACGUGUUAAAUUAUAGCUUUCCUGCUUUCAUUUUUAUUCUUGGGUAGAACAGACUAUAGUCAAAGAAUGCUGGUGGAUCAUUAAUUCUAGCUGAUUUCAGUGAAUUACAACAUGGCACAGUUGAACUCUGAAAUUAGUCACUCAGAUAACUGAUGCAGAGACUCACAGACUCCCCACAAUCCUUCCUAAAGAGAUAACACCACUUAUUUAUUGCAUUGAUCACUAAAGUCAGAAGCAGAGAAGACAAAGGUACAGACCAGUUGUGUCUGUCUGUUCAUACCAUCUAAACUUUCAUCUUUCAUUGAUAAAACAAAAAUCUGAAAUUGAACCACCAUCAUCCUUGGCAAGAAUAUGUUGUGGAGUUUUUCUCCCCUUCCCAGAAGGCAUUUGUAACUGCUCUGAAAUACACCAUUUCACUAAUUUCAUCAGCUACUAAUUUCAAAAGCAUGACUGCUAUUUAAUCUUGCUAUGUGCCACACUCUAUAAAUUAACUACUAUAGUAAUUUACAUCUCUGUCCAUCCAUGCCAAUGAGUUGCUAAGGCAUUGCUGUGGCAUUAUUGCUGUUGUACUAUAUAUUUAUGAAGGCUAAGCCUGCAUGCCAUACUAAUUCUACACCUUAAAAUAUGCCUACUUUGCUACAGCAGUUAGCAUAGAUCAGUUCUAUGACAUAUGGUAUAUUACUUAUCUGCAUACAGAUCUGUAUUACAUAAACUAGCAAGACAGAACAAAAAAAGCUACAUUUGUUAAAUCUCGUGCCAGAUUUGACUAGUACUGGAGGUAGGUUUAGCUUUUUUUCUUUCCCAUGUUACUGGAAAAAAUCUUUAAAACUGUGAGGUAUGCAAACCCAUAUUUCUAUACCUAAAAUUUAUAUCAUGAGACAGUGAGACUGAAAAACCUGAGGCUUUAAAUACUGAGGUAAGAAUGAACUGCAUUUUCUACUCAUCUCUAAAAAUAAAUAAAGAAAACACAAAAGAAGCCUUUCAAAGAUUUUCGCUCAAUUCUGCCACAUUCAUGCUUAGCCUCAAAGAUCUGGGCUUUUAUUUUUUUGUACGGUUCCACACAAAGACAAGAGUCCAACUUGCUUUAAGCGUGCCACCCAGCCUGCAGUCAAUAUCUUUCAUUGACUUCAGUGGCAGAGAAUGAGACCUCAAAGCACAUGGAUUUGGUCAUAGAGCAAAUCCAUUAAAGCAAGUGAAAAGUUUAGAAUGCACAACCCAUGGAAACAAACUGUACCUGGCACUUUGGGAUCAAAACAGAAGUCUAAGAGAAAGUUCUUCAAAGAACCUUUAGGCACCCUCAGAGAAUUUGCUGAACUGUGUCUGUUAAAUUAGAAGGCUUACAAAGAGUACUUCUACUUACACUGGGGCCAACAAUGUGAUUAUCAGCAUGAACAACCUGAAGACUCAUUCAUCUUUGUCUCUGAAAAAUUCUCUGCUUCUUAUGCAACAAAAGGAUUUAUUGUGUACUGUAAAUGCUUACAGAGUAACAGAGAAAACUCAAUUCUGGAGAACUGAUAAAGACCUAAAUAUAAAGAAAAUUCACAAAUAAAUGCUAUCAUAAAAACAUCCUUUGACUUUCCCAAGAAAUUAUGGCUAAUGCAAAUUAAAGACUGUGGCACGUAAUAUUUCAGUGAAUCUAAAAAAAUGAAGCAUUUUACUAUUUGCAUUACGCUCACAGAGAAACAAAGGCCCCAGUAAAUGACUGAUGUAAAGCAGUAAAGGCAAAGUUUACACAGCCAAAUACUGCGACACAACACAAUCUGGGGGCUUUGCACUAACUUAUUCACACAUUUUACAAUACAGCAUUUCAUGACAUGAUCACUUCUAAAAGAUCUGCUUUACACAAGAAGCACAAGGAAUGCUGGUGCUUCUUUAGAGUGCUUGUGCUUCUGUGCCUGUUCUUGUUUGCACAGCAAUGGGAAAACGCUGACCUUCUUUGCUUGUUACUUCCCUGAGUAGGUGAACAUUGCCCUAGUAAUCACCAAAUGUGGUAUUUCUGAUUUUCUCCAUAGCUUGUUUGCGCUGGUCACUAACUUUUCUGCUUUUGAAGUUAGUGCAGUGAGUGCAUAAACAACAGAUGGGCUCACAGGUCCUGGUGUAAUUCCCUUUCAAAAUUAUUGAGUAUUAACUGCCUUCAGAAAGCCCACACUUCCAGGAAUGCUAACAAUAAUAAAUACAAGAUGAAACAGCAAUGUUGUCUGCAGUCUACUGAGCAAUAAUUGAUGGAAAAUUUGAGGUAAAAAUCAAAUUUUAGAAACCUUAUGCCUACUAGUACAGUAAUCCAGGUGAACAAAGAGAAAUCACUGUAAAAUAAAUACUGUUUUAGUCUUCCAGAAAAUUAUUUUCUGGUCCAGGGAGGUCACAGAGCCUAUCCAAUCACCAUGCAGCAGUUGUACAAGCUUAAAGUAUGCUUAGAACAAGGCAAGUCUUCAAGUCAACAGUUCAACUGUUCUGUACUCUACUCAGUGUGUAAGAAAACAGACUAUUUUUAGAUUCUUGUAAGUUGGCAGAAACAAGAUAUAUUUUCACAAAUUGUAAACACAUCUGUCAACUACUAUGACAAAUAAAGUGAAUAAUUAAAUUGAUUGACAGCCCUCACACUUUUUAACAAACAAGUUUUGAAUAUUUUUAGGGUCUGAAGUAGAGAUGAAACAGUUUUUCCCUUAACUUCAUUCUUAGAAUUGGCUAAACCAUUAAAAAAACUAAUUUCCUGAGUCAAACAUUCAGCAUGACAAAUGUUUGCCCAAACACUUUAAAUUUAGCAGAGUUAUACACUGCUAAAAACAUAGCCUUGCAGCAUAAAUGCAUUUAUUAUGAUUAAUAUGUUUACACUGCAGGAUAUAAACAACCUAAGAUAUGAAUUGAAUUUGGUAUUAUCUACAGACUGGCAAACAGCACUAAUUUUUUAUUUUUAUUUUUUGUAUUUAUUAUAAAAUAUCAAACUUUUUUUAUAAAAUAUGGUAUUUUCCUUCAAUAAAUUUAUAUCUAUUACUUGAAUAGAUACACCUGUAUAAUUUAGGGACUAUCUUCUGCAUGCAAGGGUCCCCAUCUCAUGUCCUGCAGGUCACACUCACAUACAUUUGUGACUAGAGAAGGAAAGACAUAAUUGUAGUGUUUCUCCUCAGAAUAGUGAGUAGUGCUGGUUACAUCCCCUCUAACAGAUUAAGAGUUUCUAGCUCUUUUUAAAAAUGAUUUACACUGAAGCAGUGUAAGAGAAGAGCUGAUCAAAGAAAAGGAGGGGAUAUGUAAAAAAAAAUAAAUAAAAAAGCAGAUGCUAGCAGUGGAUAACCAUUCUUUUCCUGAUAUAUUUCUUUUCUUUCAUUAAUGCAUCAAAAUCCACAUUAAGGAUAGUUUUCUUAAUAUAUACUAAGAAUUAAAUAUGUUGUACUAACUUUGAGAAGUACAUAUAUGUAGACAAAUGUCAAUUCUUCAUAUUCUUUGAAGAGAUAUUGGUUAAUUAUUUUGCUGUUUUAUAAUUCUGUACAGAUUUUUUUUUUUACUCAUACAUUAGUAGGCUUUGAACUUGCAAAAAUUUCUUGCUGUAGGAAAGAAGUUAAGCCCUUGUAACUGCUUGAUGGCAGCAUCCUGUCCUUCUAAGGUUAAAGCAAGACAGCACACGAUUUCUUUUUCCUCACUCUCUUUCAACACAUGAGCCAGGAGCAGACAAUCAGUUGAAACAGUGAUGAUUACAAAUGACAACUUGUAGCAUGUGUUAUCACAGUCACUGUGUACAGUAAUUCAGCCAACAAUAUAUUUUGCUAACGACCAUGUGGAUUCAGGGAAAACCAUUUGUUUUCUGGAUGAAAUCAACUACAGACACAUUAUUACAGUAUGCUUUUCCCAGGAUCUGUAUUGAAUAAGCAGACUAAACACAGCGUUAGUUUGAAAGGACUUUGCAGAUACUAGGUGAAAGCUGACCCCUUCAAAGUCAGCGACUAGCAGUGCGUAGAUGUUAGCAAGGCUAAUGUUAUAAUUAUCCACACAGCUAUUGAACUGUCAAAUAUUUUAGGUUCUAUUUAGCCUGUUCACAACUGAGAGAAAUCUUCACUCAAUAGCUUCCUCAGUUAUUUUAGUCAAAUAAAUUACAUCACGGGCUCUCAGUCAGGCAGGGAUGUGACAGGCUCUUGAAGGUGUCAGAUGUGAACCUUGCUGAGCUUGAAGUUUUCCUGAGGUAACUGAAAAUUUUAAAUUCAUCUCUUGAAGGGCAUAGUUUCCCUGAGUGACACUUCAGACAUAUUAACUGUGGGCGAUUAAGGAGCAGCUGCACUCGAUGUGCUUGUAGGAAAUAAGUGAUUUGAUGGAAUUACCCAGUGUGCAUCUGGACAAAAGCUUUAAACAUGUUUGGACAAAGGCAUGACUCAACAACUUAAACUAAAAUUUAAGGGAUUGCAACUGGGUAACAUCAACAUUUCCCAACAUAAAAUUAAAGUAUGAGAAAAUGAGAAACCACGUCUGAGUAUGUAAGUGGCAUCUUUCCUCCCAGAGGAACAGUAAGGACCCCCUGGUAGUCUUCAACAGCUAUGGCAGCAUAGUACCGAUUAGCUGUCCUACCUACUGUGACUCUGUAACGACAGCUUUCACAAAAUUAUCACCCAGCCAAAAUAGCCUCAGUUCACAGGUUAAGUGUGCCAGUGUCAUUAAGCUAAAUGUAAGGAAUAAACAUGAUCAAUCUCCAUAAAUAACAAGGGCUGGAAGGGGAAGGAGCAGCUACUUCUGGGAAAGCAGAAAAUGGAACACAGCAAAAACCCAGCAAGUGGAAUUAUUUAUGUCACUGGGAAAGCUGAGGGCAUGGCUCAGGAGGAAAAGUAUGUAUUGACAGCUCAAAGACUUCUAACAAUGUUUUUACUAAUUAGGGAAGCACUUUGAAAGCUUUUGGUUAGAUUCUUUAGAUUCAAUGAUGUAAAUCCUUUUGGAGCACUUUGAUUCUCUGCUUUUCAUUACAUUUUCAAGCUCUGCUGUUAUUUGAAUUAACUAGAUCCUUUUUUUCAAUAUACUGGUUACCUCCCAACCCUACAGCGAUGCUGAUAGUAAAAAGCACCAAAAUCUUCAAAAACAAUAUUCUGCCAUUUCUAGUUGCUGUUUUUGAUAAGUGUUUUCUUAAGUUUACCAAAUUGUAUGACAUCAGUUCAAAUAGAGAGUUCACAAGAGAUGGAGUCGCAGCUGCUCCCUUGUGUCUCAGCUUGUGAAAUCGCUCUCACUUCUCCGUUAUUCCAAUGUUUAAAGAGUUUUUAUCUGUAUACUUAAGACACAGCCUCAGUAAGAUAUCCAUUCACAUGAACAGAAUGACAAAAAGCAACAUAUCCAAGUCUCCCCUUCAGAUAGCCAUACCAGAAGCAAAUAUUUUUAUAUGAAAAAUAUUGCAAUUAGAUGUUACUAGCAUCAUAAAUGCAAAGCAGAAAAUUCACACCUUUCAUUCUUAUCCCCUCAGCUUGCAGAUUCAGGAGUAUAUCUGCACUGCUGGGUCAAUCUAAACAAUUAUAAUCUGUGUGGAGCCUCUUUCACUGUUGAUCUCUCAUUGCCCCUGACUGCACAGAUCGUGAAGAAAAAAAUCCUGACUCCUCAAAAGUCCAUAUAUUUUUCCUGCCCAUACCCUUCUCUCAUAGUCUAUCCAAUAUCAUUGUCUGGGAAAACAAUAUGCAAUAUACACUUUUUUCCCCCAAAUGCAAAAAAGCCUUUCUUAUAUUUAAACUUCUCAUUGCCAUCUAGGUCACUGUAUAGUGAUGAUUAUUCAAAAAUUUCCUCUCUCUUUAGUAACUUGAAAUUAAUUUAGCUCACUGUUCUGCACACAAAGCUGCCUCAGAGUAGCACACCCAGUGACAGACAUUUUCAAACAACCUUCAGUUGUAUGAUUCAUUUCCCUACGGCUGUUUUACAUGAGUAUUAACAUACUCAGAACUUCCCUGCCAAGAAGGAUUGGCCUCUUGACUUACUUGUUUGGUGAGGGUAUCUUCUCUUAGGCAUUUGUCUCAUUACACCCAAUUAGCAGUUAACAUUUUAUAAUCAGAAUUCACUGCCUAACUGUGCCUGGCCAAGUGUUGCUUUCUCCCCUACAUAAAUAUUACUGACCUCUUCUGACAUUGCAGAUUUGGUCCUCAGAUCAAGAUUAUAUGUACAGACUUGCAGAUAAAUGCUUAACGAGCUUCACCAGGCAAACACUAGAGACAAGAGUACAAUCUUUCCCUUUGGUUUCCAGAGUACUUGUGGCCAAAAUCAAGCCAAAUAUUUAAAUGGCUGCAAUGGUCCUACUGAUAGUAGAAAGACCAACACAGAAAGAUCCCAGAAAGGACACAAAUGAGUCAGUACUUCCCAUAUAGUAUAUAUAUAUAUACCCAAACCUGCAGUAUUUCAGUCAUCCAGAGCAAGAGAGCAAUCUCAGCCCACUGAGAUGCCAUUUGAAUUAGUGGUUUUACACUUAGCCUGUUCUUUUCUAACAUCUCAUGAGACAGAGUUACAUUGCUGUUGGACACCUAGCUGAGAUACAGGCAGCUCGGAGCAUUGCUCCAUAUGUGCACUCACAGAGCUUUCCAGGUCAGCUGUUUUCCCCUGAGCAGGUGGAUACAAGUAAGAGCACAAAGAUACCAUCACAGAGCAUCUGCUACAUGUUGCUGAUUAACAUUGAUCAGAACUUGCCAGAAAUGAUUAGCAUUGUCGAAUGAGUCAUUUUGCCUCAAUGUACUCUGAGAUACCAUGCUUAUCUAAAGGUACCUAAGCCAGGACUAAAUGAGUUAGUUGUAGAACAAAGGUAGCCGUUCUAGCACAGUAUGAUACUUUCUUCUCAACAGAGCUAAUUAAACUGUACAGAAUGCCAUCGUAAUACAGCUGUAUUGUUUCUGGCAGCAGCCCAGCACGGGCCUUUCCACCACACCUUGGCUCUUUGCUUCAGCAACGUCAGCUCAACAUCAGCAGGCACUUCCCAAGCACAUCAGGAACUAGUCAGAUUACAAAAGUAAAUUCUCUCAGCAACUACGAAAUAUUUUGUAAUAACAUUUAAAAUAAACAAAAAUAACCUUUUCCUUUAUGAUACCAUGUAAUGAUCCCUUUAACAAAAUUCCUUUCUAGAAUCACAGGGCAAAAAUGAAAAAAAAAACAAUGGGCUAAAAAAAGGUCAGCUGAAAGUGACUUUUGACCAGAGAUUCUUUAACAUCUUCUAUGACAGGAAAAGAGAAUUCUUUGUAAUGUAUAACUUCUGAACCAUGAGAUAGCCACCUGACAUCAGUGGUUGCAUUUCAAUGGAGCUACUUCCUUUUCUAUCAGUUAAAAUUGCUUUACAUGGCCAUUCUACAUUUUAACAGUACAAUACCUGAACUUUCAGAAGUAGCUGCUUGAUGAAGGUAGUAAGUACUGAUUUCAUUCAUUUAUUUGCAAGAUUAAAAAAUAUUUUCUAUCAUUUUUCUGUUUCUGUUUUAAAAGUUAUAUGAUUAUUUCUCAAAGGCUUCUGUGAGUUCUUCAUGAUCAGAAAAAUUCACUUUGGAUUCUGGCAAGAAAGGCCUGUUUUCCAGGCUAAUUAUUUAUUUUCAGUUGAUUAAUGAAUUACCCUAGAACGAAACCAAAAAGCCCACGCAUGACCUCACAGUACAUGUGCACACUUGCACACAUAAAUGUUCAUUCAUUAAAAAACAUGAAAAAGGCAUUAAGAUGUUAGAAUAGCUUUAAAAAGCACUAAAGAACUGGUAUUAAAUACAACCUUUGAGAAAUAAAGCUAAGGAAAGACUCCUUUUGGCAGUCUUUUCACACUUCAGUCUGAAGAUAAGGGAAGUUUUCAUAAACAGCCACAGCACUGUAUGUGGACUUUGAAAGUGAUGCCCAGAAGUUCACAGUAUCCUGAAGUUUAUCGUGAGGCGUUUCUAAACUCCAAUGUCCCCUGCCUUUUAUUGCAACUUGCUCCUACGCUGCCAAUUCAUUGUAAGCCUUGACAAAACAUCUGCAAAAUUUUAGAGAUGCUCCAACAAUUAAAAGAGACAUCAAUUCUUUCAUUAUCAUUUCUAUAAUUUGGACUGAGCAGUGUAAUAGACUUUACUGUCAAGUACCACCAGCUACCUAUGAAUCACUUCCACUUAACUCUGCAGGGCAUGAGCAUGAAAAAAAUUAAUUUGAAUGUAAUUCCUUGUUGCUCUGAAGUAUUCUGAUGAAAUUCACCCUUUUGCUUGGAAGGGACAUCAGUUCUACAGAAAUUCUUGAUGGCCUAGGUCCUUCUUGACCUUGCAACUUGUGUAAGUCAACAAUACAACUGUGAAAGACUUUAUUUUUUCCCAGUAUCUUGUAAGACUAUGAAAGAGCAAGAAUAGCACAGACAAGGUUACAGCAGAAAAAAACUUACCAGUAGAUGGCUUCACAGAUCUUAGACUGCAAUGCUACUGGAAAAUGCCUCAUAGAAAACCGUCAUUGCUUUUUCUUCCAUCUCUUCUUCAUGAUCCAUUCUACUGGCAGGUAUUUGAACCAGGCCCCUGUUGAAGUAAAAUUAUGCAUAUUCAGUAUAUGAAAUAUAAUCAUGUCUACACGUACCAGCUGAAGCUUGGAUCCUUAUCUGAACACUUGGCAUCCACACCAUGAAUUGUAAGCUACUUUAAGGAAUGAGUUGAUUAAUGUAGACUAAACAUUGAUAUUAUGUUUUUGCUUAGCCACUUCCACAUCUAAAUUCAUUGUAAAGACUUUGUGCUAUGGAAGGAAUUUCUGUUGAAAUGGAAAAAAAAACCUACCAGUAAUAACAGAUGUGUUUGUCGGAGAGCUACCUUCCAUGCAUACCUUGAAAGGAAUUACCAUUCUUUUUUUCCAUUUAAUUGACAAAUUGAGCUCUUUAGUGUACUUUAACAACAUGUGACUAAUAAUAAAUCACAAUAACAGAAAGAUGUGACUGAAAAAACAAUAAAGUGUAACUGUAAUUGGGUCUCAAGCUACUUAACUAAAUUACAAACCCUAUUCAUCUUUUCAAUACAGGACCCAUAAAACACAUUUCUUUUACAAACAAACAAAAACACACCAACAAAAGCAACAAAAAACCACACAGAAGUACCACUACAUUAGAGUUCAUUAAAGGAGCCAAGAAAAUGAUUCCUAAAGAGCAGGAUUACCUACAUAUAGUAGGCAUGACCCAAGGACCCAGGACUAGCGAUCAACAAUAUGUAGGAAGUACAUACUUUAACCUACGCUAUUUCCCCUCCCUCCCUUACAAGCCUCUGAAGCAUCUCAGAAGAAGGCUGCAUUGAUUCUCUCACGAGCACUGGACAUUUGCAAGCUUUAACGAAGUAUAAAACCUGGAGAAGAAAUUGAAUUGGUGGAGGGAAUGGAAAAGAGCACUGUAAUACUUGGUAUGAAGAACAGAUGAUAGAACAACACUAAAAGGAGACUGCAAGACCAACAAGAUGUCAGUAAUAAACUCACUCCAUUAAAAAAAGAACUGAAAAGGAGAGAACUCAAAGGAAGCGGAAAGACAGAAUUUCUGUGCAAUGUAUUUAUUCAUCAGGCCACUGAGCUCAAGAUCCACUUCUCUCACUUUUUGCAGUAAAUGCAAGCACAAAAACUACUUUCUGAAAGAAAAAUCUUCAGCUUUAAGAAGGAAUGACAACAAAAGUCAUUCAGAAGGCUGCGAUUGCCAUCCCAGAGAAACUGAAGCAGUUACACUGGACAUCUUUCAGCAUAACUUUCCUCUUUUAUAGAUUCUCUUCACAUUGUACGGUGGAAAAGCCCACAGGUUGCAGAGCACUUAAACUAUUCUCCUGGAGCCACAGUAAAGACUAAAGAAAGAGUUUCAUCAAUAUCUGUAUCAUUUAGUUGAGUGUUAUUUUGCAGAUAAGAGGUUCACAGAGCUCUACUUGCCAAGGCAAGUACAAUCUAGCUACUCUUAUUAAAGUGCUUAUAUGUCUUCUGUCUCCACAGACAACUAUAUUAGUAAAAUAAAAAAUGCCAGAGAAUGUUCUUGACGUGUACAUGUGAUUCUUCAUGCUGUUUGAAUCAUUGCUAGUGUGGUUUUGGAUGGGGCCAACCAGCAGUGUCUGGAUUAAUUCUCAGACAAGGAUGGAUAUUAACAGAUGCCAACAGCGUUUUCUAACAGGCGCUUUGACACUGUGUUUGCAAGGGAGACUUUAAUCCUAAACUUCUGACUAGAUAAUGUCACUGACAUCAGGGCUAAAAUAUUCCCAGACAUUUUCCUGUAAAGAUGCAGUAAAAGUCUCUGUGUAUCUCUCUAUUUAGUUUUGGUUUUAGGUGAGAAGAAGGGAAUAAAGAUUGCAAAAAUAUCUUUAAAAGAGUAACAUAUAACAAUGUUUACUUUCUCAAUAGCUUAUAGGUAUGCAACUCUCACACCUUCAAAGGUCUAGGUAGGUCUAACUUUAUUCACCAAGGAUACCCCUGGGCAUAAAGGGCUUUGAAACCACCUGAGGUUUGAAUCCAAGGAAAUGGAACAAACCUGCUUUUUGUGGACAAAGCCUACAGCUACAAUUAAUGCUAAAACUGAUCCUGUAGUUUUGUCGCUACUGAACCACAGUAAACACAACAGCUAAGUAACUUUAGGUAUGAGUAAUUCCAUAUUAAGACAGCUAUCUAAAGUGUGCAAGCUAAGUUUUCAUUUAGGAUACUUUUUUUUUUUCCUCCCUAUUAUUUAGAAAGACAGUCUUGAUGAGCAUUUUGAUGUAUAUACAUAAAUUCUAGAAGAUUAAAAAUACAUGAGACAAAAGUCACAUUUAAACCAUCUGUGAGAAUAAAACCACAUCUGAAUUAGGAAUGAACAAGGGGAAAUACAUCCUAGGAAGGUUAGAUUUAAACACUUGGCUUAAUACUUUGCAUGAACAACUUGAAGAAUAUCCAUAAAAUCCAAUCAUUUUACUGUUUUUACCUAUAAUCUUCCUCAUGUAAACUUUUAGAGGCUUUUUUAUUUUUUUUUUCCCCCUCAUUGUCACAGACUCAGUGACCUCCAGAUAAAUCAAAACAACUUUAGAAAAUCCUUACCAGUUCCUUUUAUUUCUCACAACCAAAGGUAAAUGCGUAACUGUAGUUAAAGGUUAAGAAGUCAGAAGGAUUUAUCACUGAAAUGACUAAGGAACAUCUGUUCUAAGAAAUUUACUAUUGCAAUACUUUGUAAGUGCUCUCUUGAUUAUCUUGCAAAGGUCUGCAUGCUAACAAAUCUGCUGAAUAUCAAUUUACAGUGGUUGGAUACUUACCUUAUAGCACAACACAAAAGCUGUUGACACAUAAAUGCAUGAAAACUUCAGGCAUAUUCUAUCACAGGCCAGCCUUCAUUAUAAAAGAUUAUCCCCAGCACCACAUGUUUUGUUAUAUUCUCCAUCCCAGACUUUAUUUCCUGUUUUUCUUUAAGCAAAAAGAUGGAGGCAAACUGUUAGCUACAAUACAUCUUGAAUCCUCAAACAAAUGAGAAUGAAUGUCUUGAUUUCUUUUGAUGAAAACUGUCAUUCUUAGCAAUGAAGGGAUAUAACUAAAUAUACAUCAAAUUAUAUAACAUGCCACAGAGCAGGCAGUCACAAAAUAAAUUCAUCUUUCUAAAAGGCAUAGUCUGAGCAUAGAUGUUGAGAGAAAUGAAAACAGUGCUGCAAAUAUAAUGAACAUCAUUAUUCCUUUGACCUGGAGGUAAAGGAAGACAAAGCAACAAAGGCAUGUCACUCCAAAGGGUAUAAAACCAGUGAAACCUCAGUACCCUGGCUUUGUUUAUAAGUUUUCUGGAAAGAAAAAAAACCCUUCCUUUAGAUUCCCUUGUCUUCAUCAACAUUGCUUUGUUCCCAGAAAGCAACACUGCAGGUCACUUACAGAGAAAUCACCCACUGUUAACGGAAAAAAAAAGUAAAUCAACGAUAUAUUUACAUGGCUAAUACACCUCCCUAGAUUACGUUAUGGAGAAAAGCCUUUUAAAACCAUUUGUUUGCCUGGUCAUGUUAAGAUUUACAUUUCUAGGUACUCUGAGUAGCAAACCUUGUUUUAAUGCAAGGACUUAAAAGGUACAGUCGAGAUAUACUUACAUACAGAAGGAAGGACCAUCCCUGGAGAUGUUCCAGAAACAUGGAGGCAUGGCACAGAGAAACACAAUUUAGUAAGCAUGGACUGGCAGUUGGACUAGAUGAUCUUAGCAGCCUUCUCCAACCUUAAUGGUCCUAGAUAUAUAAAGCAGAUGGAAGGUGCACCAGGAAAAUCUGAACCUCCCAGAAACCAUGCUGUGGAAAGGCACCAGCAAGCCAGGAGCAUUCCUGCUGGCUUUGGAAAGCCAGGAAGACAUGGUAGGAGAAUGAGACUUUUCUUGGGCAUUUGAGCAGGAAAACAAAAACAAAAAAACCUCAUUAUGAGAUUCAUGCAUAAUUUUAGCAUCAUUUUAUAUAUCUUCCUGUGGCCUUCUGGAAAGUUCACUGCGACUCCUCAACACUUGGAAAAGCGCUUCAAAGGACAGUACUGAAAUCAGCAGUUCCACGGCAAGCAACAAGAGAACAAGGAACAACAAACAGGCUUCCCUGCAUCAUUACGGAACAAGCCUUCCCCCAAAAAAGGCUGUCAAGGGUGGUUUCGCCGCUUUUAAAUGCCCGCCGGCGCUCCCAGCCCCGCCCCGGCCCGCUCAGCUGCUCUCCCGAGGGCUCGCGGCGCACACAGCUGCUCACCGCUCGCUCCUCGCUGUCGGAAUUCUCCUCAUCCGCUGAAGCGGUUCCCUGCUUCGUUGCAGAACGGCUCCGCACCGGAGCCGAGCGCCUCUGCUUUUGGUUUUAUUAGCUCCACACGUGUUUAUGGCCUGGCAUGACCCACACGCAGGCAUUUCACAGCCGGGAGCUCAUACCUCUUCCACGAAUGCACCUGGGGGACUGGAGUGAGCAAGGAAGGGGUUCUCUUGCAGUGCAGGUCAUGGAUUUGCCUCCACUCCUUGCCUUUGAGAUCUUGCCUUCAGCCUAGCAGUGAGGGAGUACAAGCUGCCUUGGAUCUUGUGCUUUUUCUUGUGGUUGGACAUGUCUCAGCGAGGGCAAAGCACAGUUCCUUUGCUCCUUCUCUCUUUUGGCCCCCUUGAGAAGGGGACCUCGUAACCUUGAUGAAGGUUAUCAGGAGUAGUCAACAUGGAUUCACCAAGAGGAAAUCAUGCUCAACCAACCUGGUAGCCUUCACCAGUGGGGGAGAUGUGUACCUUGACUUCAGCAAGGCUUCUCACACUGUUUCCCAUAAUAACCUCAUAAGCAAGCUUAGGAAGUGUGGAAUAAAUGAGUGCACAGCUGACCUGUUUAGCUCAGAGUUGUGAUCAGCAUUGCAGAGUGUAGUUAAGCGCCUUUAGUGGUGUUCUGCAGGGGCUGGUGCUGAUUCCAGUCUUGUUCAACAUCUUUAUCAAUGCCUGGAUGAAGGGAUAGAGUCCACCCUCAGCAAAUUUGCUGAUGAUACAAUGCACCAGAAGGCUGUGAUGCGAUUCAGCGAGACCUGGACAGGCCAGAGAGUUGGAUAGAGAGGGACCUUACGAGGUUCAGCAAGGGUGAGUACAGAGCCCUACACAUGGGAAGAAGUAACUGCAUGCAUCAGUAUAGUUUAGGGGAUGAUCUGCUGGAGAGGAGCUCUGCAGAGAGGGACCUAGGUGUCCUGGUGGACAACUAGUUGGCCAUGAGCCAGCAGUGUGCCCUUGUGGCCAAGAAGGCCUGUGGUAUCUUGGGGUGCAUUAAAAAAAGCAUGGCCAACAGGGUUAUAAAUUAUAUCUAUUUAAAUUUCUUUUUUAUUAUUAUUUUUGUAUUUUUAUUUUUAAAUCUAAGUACCAGCUUCCAAAUCUCUCUCCCAAAAGCCUCUAAGACAGACUUAGCCCUUACGGGAAACUGGAAAAAGUACAUACAAAGAAAAAUGUUUUCUUAAUCUACUUCAACUGUUUCUACUAAAUAUUAUUUCCCUUUAUAGUUGUUAAUAUUUCAGAAACCCAUUUUCUUUAACAAUCCACUACCAAGGGCUGAGUAAACCAGAUACUUCAUUAUUUGUAUGGAAUGUAAACACGAAAGAAAGAUCUUCAAUGCAAAGUAAAUGAUAGGUGGGAGAGAGGGUUAUAUAUUACCCAGAGAAAUUAUGCACUGCCCAACUUAUUGCAAUGUUCUUUCUACUGUCUGGCUAGCUCGCAUUCACCACUUUAGUCUUUUUUUUUUCCCUCCAAGGAAUGCCUUUAUUAUUAUUUCAUAGCAAUCAAAAUAAUCUCACAUAAGGACUAUAAAACUUGGCCGUGUAACAGUAUAAACAUCAAAUAAAAUCUGUUAUGAUUCAAAAGUGAAAAAAUAAGACAUUUUGAACUACAAGUGGCAAGAUCAGAGUGGAAUCUGGAUUACCUAUUUGCAUCCUUUAUUUUCACUAUAACAAAACACAUUCUUCAGAGUCAAAAUAAGUAUUUCACCAUAUCCAGUGUCACCGCACUCCAAACCAAAAUGGAAGAAAACUUUGUGUCAGAAUUUCAGUUAUUUGAUAUAUAUAUAUCAUAAUUAUGUGUUAAUUUAUGAACUUAAAUGCAGUUCUUUCAUAAUAUUUUGUGUUACAUGGUAAUGCUUAAAUCUUUUAAAAUCUGGUUUACAUUUUCAUGACCAAGAAAUCAUAGCCUCACCUAAAUUUACUAGGGCUAUUGCUGGUCCACAUUCUGGAAAUUCUCUUAAACUUUGGAAAAAGUGCAAGAGGGGAAGUAUAUAAUCUGCUUGAUCUAUCCUAAAUUGACCACAGUAGAUGGUGCAGCAGUCUGAAUAGGCUUUUGGUUUGACUCAUUACACAUGCUCUUAUGUUCUAAGCUUGAAGAUAAUUGUUUUAGGGAAGCAAGUGUAUGGCUUAACUAAUAAGUUUUGUAUUUUGCUUUGCUUCAAAAAGCAAUAAAAAUGUCAUUCUCUUUUUUAAUCUGUUUUGUAUUGCUUAGUUCUGAUGUUCUGCACUCCCAAUGUAAACAGAUUGCCCGUUGAUGUCAGGAAUAACUCCUUGCAUGUUGAUGGAGCAGAAUAUCAGAGAUGAAAUCAAUCACAUGGCUCUGAGACAAGAAUCCAUCUGUAUCACCAUGCUAAUUUGAGAACAGAUUUGAAGCCAAGAUAAAAUAUAAUCCUUUGUGGAGGUGAAGACUGUACU
Lagopus muta (rock ptarmigan) is the source of this 19206-nucleotide long non-coding RNA. RefSeq lists it as uncharacterized. Lineage: Eukaryota; Metazoa; Chordata; Aves; Galliformes; Phasianidae. The transcript is spliced from 4 exons. The record is from RefSeq and is a predicted model, not a curated record.